Molecule: ribosomal RNA, 408 nt
Filed under: uncultured bacterium
Lineage: Bacteria
Description: bacterial SSU rRNA
Rfam family: Bacterial small subunit ribosomal RNA
Source: RNAcentral
GUGGGGAAUAUUGGGCAAUGGAGGCAACUCUGACCCAGCAACGCCGCGUGAACGAUGAAGGUCUUCGGAUUGUAAAGUUCUUUAAGUGGGGACGAAGAAAGUGACUGUACCCACAGAAUAAGCCUCGGCUAACUACGUGCCAGCAGCCGCGGUAAUACGUAGGAGGCAAGCGUUAUCCGGAAUGACUGGGCGUAAAGGGUGCGUAGGUGGUUUGGCAAGUUGGUAGCGUAAUCCCGGGGCUCAACCUCGGUGCUACUACCAAAACUGCUGGGCUUGAGUGCAGGAGGGGUGAAUGGAAUUCCUAGUGUAGCGGUGGAAUGCGUAGAUAUUAGGAAGAACACCAGCGGCGAAGGCGAUUCACUGGACUGUAACUGACACUGAGGCACGAAAGCGUGGGGAGCAAACAGG